RNAcentral lists this ribosomal RNA (433 nucleotides) under uncultured bacterium. RNAcentral describes it as "partial 16S ribosomal RNA". It matches the Rfam family "Bacterial small subunit ribosomal RNA", at positions 29 to 507 of the family's 1533-position model. The record is from RNAcentral.
AACGAACGCUGGCGGCAGGCUUAACACAUGCAAGUCGAACGCACCUUUCGGGGUGAGUGGCAGACGGGUGAGUAACGCGUGGGAAUCUACCCUUCUCUACGGGAUAGCUCCGGGAAACUGGAAUUAAUACCGUAUACGUCCUGAGGGCGAAAGAUUUAUCGGGGAAGGAUGAGCCCGCGUUGGAUUAGCUAGUUGGUGGGGUAAAGGCCUACCAAGGCGACGAUCCAUAGCUGGUCUAAGAGGAUGAUCAGCCACAUUGGGACUGAGACACGGCCCAAACUCCUACGGGAGGCAGCAGUGGGGAAUAUUGGACAAUGGGCGCAAGCCUGAUCCAGCCAUGCCGCGUGAGUGAUGAAGGCCCUAGGGUUGUAAAGCUCUUUCAGGGGGGACGAUAAUGACGGUACCCACAGAAGAAGCCCCGGCUAACUUCGUG